AGUGAACGCUGGCGGUAGGCCUAACACAUGCAAGUCGAACGGCAGCACAGUAAGAGCUUGCUCUUACGGGUGGCGAGUGGCGGACGGGUGAGGAAUACAUCGGAAUCUACUUUUUCGUGGGGGAUAACGUAGGGAAACUUACGCUAAUACCGCAUACGACCUACGGGUGAAAGCAGGGGAUCUUCGGACCUUGCGCGAUUGAAUGAGCCGAUGUCGGAUUAGCUAGUUGGCGGGGUAAAGGCCCACCAAGGCGACGAUCCGUAGCUGGUCUGAGAGGAUGAUCAGCCACACUGGAACUGAGACACGGUCCAGACUCCUACGGGAGGCAGCAGUGGGGAAUAUUGGACAAUGGGCGCAAGCCUGAUCCAGCCAUACCGCGUGGGUGAAGAAGGCCUUCGGGUUGUAAAGCCCUUUUGGUUGGGAAGAAAAGCAGCAAGUUAAUACCCCGCUGUUCUGACGGUACCCAAAGAAUAAGCACCGGCUAACUUCGUG
RNAcentral lists this ribosomal RNA (492 nucleotides) under uncultured bacterium. RNAcentral describes it as "partial 16S ribosomal RNA". It matches the Rfam family "Bacterial small subunit ribosomal RNA", at positions 29 to 507 of the family's 1533-position model. The record is from RNAcentral.